RNAcentral lists this long non-coding RNA (2388 nucleotides) under Bemisia tabaci. RNAcentral describes it as "lncRNA ENSASIAIIG011975". Lineage: Eukaryota; Metazoa; Arthropoda; Insecta; Hemiptera; Aleyrodidae. The record is from RNAcentral.
GGGAUUCCAGCCCUGGGAACGGGGAGCGCGCAUCUGAGCCGAGUCUGUCUAUAAGAGCCGCCAGCCGGCACCCGCUCGCCCAUUCACAUUCCACCGCCCGCCCGAUCUCACGUGUCCGCCGAGUCGCCCAACCGGGAGCCCCGAGCGUGCUUAUCACCCGAUCACUCGCUUAUCAAUCGCUUAUCAGCCGCUUAUCGCUUUUAGUAGCCUGUCCAUUCGGUUCGAUUCUCCGAGGCUUCGAGGCCGGGUUUACCAUGAAACUCCACCCCGCCACCGCUCGGUUCCGAGUCCUUUCUCUCGUUUCUUUCUUUUGUUUUUCCUAUGUGGUGUCCAGUCUCGUGCUUUGAGCCAGGAACUCUCGGCCCUACAGAACCUACGGCUAAAAGGACAUUUCAAAUGGAGUAUCAAAACGACGGAGGUGACGUUAUUUUUUUUCUCAUAAAAUAAGAGAGGCCCCCUAGUCGCCUAGGGGAUGCGUCUCGAGCAGCAGAAAAACUCUCCCACAUUCUGCUCCGACUGAUAUCUGAAAUUAUCAUGAAUUCCUCAAAUCCCGAGGGUCGUCCGAUGUAAAAUGAUGAUGCACCGCUGCGCUUCACCGACAGGCUAGACGCUGUGGAGCGAGGACCAUAUCUAAAUUGAACUCGGCAGAGAAGAAACUCACCAACGCGGUAUAAUUCCAAAAGGAAGUCAGAGGGAAAUCCUUGUGUUACCGCGGAAAAAUACACAAAUGGUUCAAGUUUAAAGUGCUAAAUUAUUGCCGAAUAAAAGUCGCCUUCAAUUAGAGAUGAUACUGUGCAAUACACAGAAGCUCGAAUAGUUGCCCGUUCGAAUACUUGCUCUGUAAAAUGUCACAAACAAAUGAGUUACUCCGCGUAGAAACACCUUAUGAAGAUAGUAAUUCUGCUCAGAUUGUUCAUUUUUGUUAGAGAGUUUAUAAAAAACCGAACAGACACGCUAAUUAUUUUUAUGAGGAAGUAGAAAAAAAUUAGCAGGAUUUUUAGACGUGAAAUUUCAAAGGGAUCACAAACCAUUCAGCUGCAAAUGAUGCUCUAAGUUGUAGAGUGUCAGUAGCACUGCAAGGCGUAUACAUCGUCCCUUCAAAAAAUAUUUACUCACUCAUGGGAACCUUCAGAAAAUACUUGACUGACUGUUGCUAUUGGCUCGACCGACUAGGACACUUUUAGUCCCUGUAGCCGUAGUUUUUCUUUUUUUUUGUGAGGAACUUUUGAAAGUAUCACGCCACACUGUUUUGUGAUAUUUAGUUAAUCCAGGUCUUGCAAAAAAUUAGUAUAUGUAUAUAGUUGGGCAGUAAAAUGUUAUAAAACUUCAGAACAGAAACUGAUGUUAAAACUACAAAAAAAGCUGCAGGUUCAUUUGAUCUCACAGGAAAAUAUCGCGUUCAAAAGAUUGGGAUUUGCAUAAGUUAUUUAAGGCUUAAAAAGCACGGUGCGAGCUCAUUUCGGCUCUAGUCAUAAUCUGAAUUUAUCCGACUCGGAGCCAAUUAAAAAGUAGGUGACGAAGCAGGCGGCUUUUACUGGGAGGCAAAGGUGAGGGCUAAAUAUUUUAUUAUCAACAGGGAGCCUUUAAAAUUACGGGAAUGGAAAAGGUUGCGAAGGUUGUGCCUCGUAGUGAGGAUAAAUUGUUGCCACAAUGUUCAAAAAGCAGGAUGAAAAUUAGAAUUAUGUUGAAUCCAUUUGACUUCGCCAGACAAACAAAAAAUUCCUGAGUCUUCAUUGUUAAUUUUGGUGUCCCUUGGUUAUAAUUCUUUUUACCAAAGGCGAAACAAAAAGUUGUACAUUUUGAAAUGUUAUAUUAUUUAUCUGCGACAUGUUCAAAAAGCAGGACGAAAAUUAGAAUUAUGUUUAAUAAAUUUUUGAUAAAUUCGCCAGGCAAGCAAGAAAAUCCCGAGUCUUCAUUGUUGCCGUUGAUAUCUUUUGGUCAUAAUUAAUUUUCACCGAAAGCGGAAUAAAAAGUUGUACAUUUUGAAAUGUUAUAUUAUUUAUCUGCGACAUGUUCAAAAAGCAGGACAAAAAUUAGAAUUAUGUUUAAUAAAUUUUUGAUAAAUUCGCCAGGCAAGCAAGAAAAUCCCGAGUCUUCAUUGUUGCCGUUGAUAUCUUUUGGUCAUAAUUAAUUUUCACCGAAAGCGGAAUAAAAAGUUGUAAAUUUUGAAAUGUAUUAUUUAUCUGCCACAGUUUUAAAUAGUUUAUGAGGGCUUUCAUGAAAUUUUCUCGGAUUGGCUGGUUUUUAUGAGUAAAAUUAAAGAGAGAGGGACAAUUUUAAAACAUUGUAAUUGAGAAACAGAAUUUUGUAAUUUUUACGGCAAUGUUCUCGAUCAUGAGUGGGAGUUGGAAGUUUUAAACCGUCAGUAUUUUUUUAAUCUUCACGCGU